Long non-coding RNA from Pleuronectes platessa (European plaice), 479 nucleotides. RefSeq lists it as uncharacterized. The record is from RefSeq and is a predicted model, not a curated record. NCBI's taxonomy places the organism in Eukaryota, Metazoa, Chordata, Actinopteri, Pleuronectiformes, Pleuronectidae. The transcript has 4 exons.
GCACCACCUAUCGGGUUUGUUUGCACCUUUUAACAAUAUGGAGUAUAAAUUGUAAUUGGAGCUUUACGUCAAUGACAGUAAAAAGAGUGAGAGUUUGCAUUGGAGAGUAAAGAGGAGAGAUGGGAGGCUGAGUGGGAGUGACAGAUGAAGAUAAGUUGGUGAAGUCUCACAAGAAGCAGGUCUGGUUCUAUUUGUCAUCCUUUCUUUCUGGACACAAGGCCUAGACCUUUCACAGCAGCAGAUGGACACGUGUAAUACUGAGCCUGUGACCAAGCAGCAGAGAUCAGCUGCUGACAGAGGUACUGCUCAAACAGACACUGAAACACCUGUGUUGACCCUCACCUCGACUGAUUAGCCAAGGAACGAAGAUCGCUCAGAUUUGGUGAGCUGGAGCCUAUCACAGCGGAUAUUGGGCAGGAGGCGGGAUACAGCUUCUUCACACCCACCAAUGAACUGUGACUUAUGUUAACAGGCAAGCC